ACAAGCGGUGGAGCAUGUGGUUUAAUUCGAAGAUACGCGAAGAACCUUACCUAGGCUUGACAUUGAUAGAAUCUGCUAGAGAUAGCGGAGUGCUGGCUUGCCAGAGCUUGAAAACAGGUGCUGCACGGCUGUCGUCAGCUCGUGUCGUGAGAUGUUGGGUUAAGUCCCGCAACGAGCGCAACCCUCGUCCUUAGUUGCUAGCAGUUCGGCUGAGCACUCUAAGGAGACUGCCUUCGUAAGGAGGAGGAAGGUGAGGAUGACGUCAAGUCAUCAUGGCCCUUACGCCUAGGGCUACACACGUGCUACAAUGGGGUGUACAAAGAGAAGCAAUACUGUGAAGUGGAGCCAAUC
This 351-nucleotide ribosomal RNA is filed under the name Helicobacter pullorum. RNAcentral's name for it is "bacterial SSU rRNA". It matches the Rfam family "Bacterial small subunit ribosomal RNA", at positions 925 to 1273 of the family's 1533-position model. The record is from RNAcentral. Lineage: Bacteria; Pseudomonadati; Campylobacterota; Epsilonproteobacteria; Campylobacterales; Helicobacteraceae.